UAGGGGAAUUUUCGUUCAAUGGGCGCGAAGCCUGAACGAGCAAUGCCGCGUGAGUGAGGAAGGUCUUCGGAUCGUAAAGCUCUGUUGCAGGUCAGAAAAGAAGGAAAGAGGAAAUGCUUUUCUUUGAUAGUAACCUGCCAGAAAGUCACGGCUAACUACGUGCC
Molecule: ribosomal RNA, 164 nt
Filed under: uncultured bacterium
Lineage: Bacteria
Description: partial 16S ribosomal RNA
Rfam family: Bacterial small subunit ribosomal RNA
Source: RNAcentral